Molecule: ribosomal RNA, 253 nt
Filed under: uncultured bacterium
Lineage: Bacteria
Description: partial 16S ribosomal RNA
Rfam family: Bacterial small subunit ribosomal RNA
Source: RNAcentral
UACGGGGGGGGCACGCGUUGUUCGGAAUCACUGGGCGUAAAGCGCACGUAGGCGGCUUUCUAAGUCAGGGGUGAAAUCCUGGAGCUCAACUCCAGAACUGCCUUUGAUACUGGAGAGCUUGAGUCCGGGAGAGGUGAGUGGAACUCCGAGUGUAGAGGUGAAAUUCGUAGAUAUUCGGAAGAACACCAGUGGCGAAGGCGGCUCACUGGCCCGGUACUGACGCUGAGGUGCGAAAGCGUGGGGAGCAAACAGG